AGAACGAACGCUGGCGGCAGGCUUAACACAUGCAAGUCGAACGGUUGUAGCAAUACAACAGUGGCAGACGGGUGAGUAACACGUGGGAACCUUCCUAGGGGUACGGAACAACUCAGGGAAACUUGAGCUAAUACCGUAUACGUCCGUAAGGAGAAAGAUUCAUCCGCCCCUAGACGGGCCCGCGUAGGAUUAGGUAGUUGGUGAGGUAACGGCUCACCAAGCCUACGAUCCUUAGCUGAUCUGAGAGGAUGAUCAGCCACACUGGACUGAGACACGGCCCAGACUCCUACGGGAGCAGCAGUGGGAAUCUGGACAAGUGGGCGCAAGCCUGAUCCGAGCCAUGCCGCGUGAGUGAAAGAGGUCCGUUCGGGUAGUAAGCUUCUUUACCGAGGACGAUAA
Molecule: ribosomal RNA, 399 nt
Filed under: uncultured soil bacterium
Lineage: Bacteria
Description: bacterial SSU rRNA
Rfam family: Bacterial small subunit ribosomal RNA
Source: RNAcentral